UAUAUAUAUAUAUAUAUUGAUAAUAAAGAUAAUUACAAAUACAAAUAAACCAUAUUGAAAAUUUCAGUGCAAGACAAGUGAAACCA
Ipomoea nil (Japanese morning glory) is the source of this 86-nucleotide long non-coding RNA. RefSeq lists it as uncharacterized. NCBI's taxonomy places the organism in Eukaryota, Viridiplantae, Streptophyta, Magnoliopsida, Solanales, Convolvulaceae. The record is from RefSeq and is a predicted model, not a curated record. The transcript has 3 exons.